GUAUUAGAGGCAUUGCCUGCCCAGUGACUAAAGUUAAACGGCCGCGGUAUCCUGACCGUGCAAAGGUAGCAUAAUCACUUGUUCCUUAAUUAGGGACUAGAAUGAAUGGCUAAACGAGGGUUCAACUGUCUCUUACUUUCAAUCAGUGAAAUUGACCUUCCAGUGAAGAGGCUGGAAUCUCCCAAUAAGACGAGAAGACCCUAUGGAGCUUUAAUUUACUAGUUCAACUUAUAUAAAAACAACCUAAUGGGCUAAAACAAAAUAAAUAUGAACUAAAAAAUUUCGGUUGGGGUGACCUCGGAGAAUAAAAAAUCCUCCGAAUGAUUUUAACCUAGACUCACAAGUCAAAGUAAUACUAAUAUCUUAUUGACCCAAUUAUUGAUCAACGGACCAAGUUACCCUAGGGAUAACAGCGCAAUCCUAUUUAAGAGUUCAUAUCGACAAUUAGGGUUUACGACCUCGAUGUUGGAUCAGGACAUCCCAAUGGUGCAGAAGCUAUUAAUGGUUCGUUUGUUCAACGAUUAAAGUCCUACGUGAUCUGUUUUUUAAA
RNAcentral lists this ribosomal RNA (550 nucleotides) under Rattus norvegicus (Norway rat). Its description in RNAcentral is "partial large subunit ribosomal RNA". It matches the Rfam family "Bacterial large subunit ribosomal RNA", at positions 1843 to 2616 of the family's 2925-position model. The record is from RNAcentral. Lineage: Eukaryota; Metazoa; Chordata; Mammalia; Rodentia; Muridae.